This is a long non-coding RNA of Mytilus trossulus (common blue mussel), 210 nucleotides long. RefSeq lists it as uncharacterized. The transcript has 3 exons. NCBI's taxonomy places the organism in Eukaryota, Metazoa, Mollusca, Bivalvia, Mytilida, Mytilidae. The record is from RefSeq and is a predicted model, not a curated record.
GUCUUGUCUUCGGAGGUAUCAUCACAGAAUGAGGGCGUCAUUGUGUUUGAUGUUGGGUAUUUCGAUGCUUUGUCGAUUCUAGUGAACAUAACAAACAGCGAAAGAAUAUGUUUUUCAUGCAGCAGUAUAAGACAGGAUGAAAAAUGUCAACAUGCUAUCAGUUGUGAUAAGGAUGAGGUAAGUAUUCAUUGGUGUAGCAAGAACAUUGAU